GGGGCUGCACCGGUUUCGACGUGGGUUCGGACACGCAGCAGGGCAUGUCGAGGCUCAGUUACCUCGUUAAUCCAUCUGAAACAAACCAACUGCGAACGACGAACGUUUCGCCCUCGCCGCUUAAACACCGGUGAGCCUUGCAACAGUCGGCCGAUGGGCUGGGCAAAAGGGAGCAAUCCCCUAGCUGCAAGGUAAUCUACAUUGGCUGGCCCCCGACCGGGUACCUUGGUCGGGAGCGAGAAAAUAGGGUGCUGGCCGGCCGGAUAGCGUGCGACUGCGCGAUCCGGUUGGCGAGACACAAACCAGAUCGCUAAACAUGUAGAACUGUUCGUAGAAGGCUUGCGGACGCGGGUUCAAUUCCCGCCAGCUCCACCA
RNAcentral lists this transfer-messenger RNA (375 nucleotides) under Burkholderiales. RNAcentral describes it as "Ramlibacter sp013087525 Standard tmRNA". It matches the Rfam family "transfer-messenger RNA". From Rfam's summary of the family: Bacterial tmRNA, also known as 10Sa RNA or SsrA, is named for its dual tRNA and mRNA-like properties. Its role is to liberate the mRNA from a stalled ribosome. Lineage: Bacteria; Pseudomonadati; Pseudomonadota; Betaproteobacteria. The record is from RNAcentral. RNAcentral also lists the same sequence under 1 other name.